GUCCCUGUAGUGCAAUGGAUAGCGCGUUGGACUUCUAAUCCAAAGGUCGUGGGUUCGAAUCCCCCUUGGAAUG
This 73-nucleotide transfer RNA is filed under the name Trichonephila clavata. It matches the Rfam family "tRNA". Rfam says of the family: Transfer RNA (tRNA) molecules are approximately 80 nucleotides in length. Their secondary structure includes four short double-helical elements and three loops (D, anti-codon, and T loops). Further hydrogen bonds mediate the characteristic L-shaped molecular structure. tRNAs have two regions of fundamental functional importance: the anti-codon, which is responsible for specific mRNA codon recognition, and the 3' end, to which the tRNAs corresponding amino acid is attached (by aminoacyl-tRNA synthetases). tRNAs cope with the degeneracy of the genetic code in two manners: having more than one tRNA (with a specific anti-codon) for a particular amino acid; and 'wobble' base-pairing, i.e. permitting non-standard base-pairing at the 3rd anti-codon position. Lineage: Eukaryota; Metazoa; Arthropoda; Arachnida; Araneae; Nephilidae. The record is from Rfam by way of RNAcentral.